This 253-nucleotide ribosomal RNA is filed under the name uncultured bacterium. RNAcentral describes it as "partial 16S ribosomal RNA". It matches the Rfam family "Bacterial small subunit ribosomal RNA", at positions 524 to 776 of the family's 1533-position model. The record is from RNAcentral.
UACGGGGGGGGCAAGCGUUGUUCGGAAUUACUGGGCGUAAAGGGCUCGUAGGUGGCCAACUAAGUCAUGCGUGAAAUCCCUCGGCUUAACCGGGGAACUGCGUCUGAUACUGGAUGGCUUGAGUUUGGGAGAGGGAUGCGGAAUUCCAGGUGUAGCGGUGAAAUGCGUAGAUAUCUGGAGGAACACCGGUGGCGAAGGCGGCAUCCUGGACCAAUUCUGACGCUGAGGAGCGAAAGCCAGGGGAGCAAACGGG